UUACCUGGGCUCGAACGUAAGAUGACUGUAGGUGAAAGCUUACAUCUCUUCGGAGCAUUUUACGAGGUGCUGCAUGGUUGUCGUCAGCUCGUGCCGUGAGGUGUCGGUUAAGUCCCAUAACGAGCACAACCCUACCCUUUAGUUGCCAUCAGGUAAUGCUGGGGACUCUAAGGAACUGCCUACGCAAGUAGUGAGGAAGCGGGGAUGACGUCAAAUCAGCACGGCCCUUACGUCCAGGGCUACACACGUGCUACAAUGGCCGAUACAGAGGGCAGCUACCUGGUGACAGGAUGCAAAUCUCCAAAGUCGGUCUCAGUUCGGAUCGGAGUCUGCAACCCGACUCCGUGAAGUUGGAUCCGCUAGUAAUCGCGCAUCAGCCAUGGCGCGGUGAAUACGUUCCCGGGCCUU
Molecule: ribosomal RNA, 408 nt
Filed under: uncultured Sphingobacteriales bacterium
Lineage: Bacteria; Pseudomonadati; Bacteroidota; Sphingobacteriia; Sphingobacteriales
Description: bacterial SSU rRNA
Rfam family: Bacterial small subunit ribosomal RNA
Source: RNAcentral